AUUGAACGCUGGCGGCAGGCCUAACACAUGCAAGUCGAGCGGAUGAAGGGAGCUUGCUCCUGGAUUCAGCGGCGGACGGGUGAGUAAUGCCUAGGAAUCUGCCUGGUAGUGGGGGAUAACGUCCGGAAACGGGCGCUAAUACCGCAUACGUCCUGAGGGCGAACGUGGGGGAUCUUCGGACCUCACGCUCUCAGAUGAGCCUAGGUCGGAUUAGCUAGUUGGUGGGGUAAAGGCCUACCAAGGCGACGAUCCGUAACUGGUCUGAGAGGACGAUCAGUCACACUGGAACUGAGACACGGUCCAGACUCCUACGGGAGGCAGCAGUGGGGAAUAUUGGACAAUGGGCGAAAGCCUGAUCCAGCCAUGCCGCGUGUGUGAAGAAGGUCUUCGGAUUGUAAAGCACUUUAAGUUGGGAGGAAGGGCAGUAAGUUAAUACCUUGCUGUUUUGACGUUACCAACAGAAUAAGCACCGGCUAACUUCGUG
Molecule: ribosomal RNA, 484 nt
Filed under: uncultured bacterium
Lineage: Bacteria
Description: partial 16S ribosomal RNA
Rfam family: Bacterial small subunit ribosomal RNA
Source: RNAcentral